Molecule: unclassified non-coding RNA, 294 nt
Filed under: uncultured fungus
Lineage: Eukaryota; Fungi
Description: partial contains 5.8S rRNA and ITS2
Rfam family: 5.8S ribosomal RNA (bases 1-52)
Source: RNAcentral
AACGCACCUUGCGCUCCUUGGCAUUCCGAGGAGCAUGCCUGUUUGAGUGUCAUUAAAUCAUCAACCAUCUCAUCUUCGAGGGGGUUGGACUUGGAGGUUCUGCUGGCCCCCUCUCCUGGACCGGCUCCUCUGAAAAGCAUUAGCAGGGGCUCAUCUUGUGCGAUCUGCAGCCUUGUGUGAUAGUUAUCUACACUCGGCGAGGUCACAUUCACCCAGCUUACAGCCGUCUGCCAUCGCGGACAACUUAUUUGACCACUUGACCUCAAAUCAGGUAGGAUUACCCGCUGAACUUAA